GAUGAACGCUGGCGGCGUGCCUAAUACAUGCAAGUCGAGCGAACGGACGAGAAGCUUGCUUCUCUGAUGUUAGCGGCGGACGGGUGAGUAACACGUGGAUAACCUACCUAUAAGACUGGGAUAACUUCGGGAAACCGGAGCUAAUACCGGAUAAUAUUUUGAACCGCAUGGUUCAAAAGUGAAAGACGGUCUUGCUGUCACCUAUAGAUGGAUCCGCGCUGCAUUAGCUAGUUGGUAAGGUAACGGCUUACCAAGGCAACGAUGCAUAGCCGACCUGUGAGGGUGGUCGGCCGCACUGGAACUGAAACGCGGUCCAGGCUCCUACGGGAGGCAGCAGUAGGGAAUCUGCCGCAGUGGGCGGAAGCCUGACGGGGCAACGCCGCGUGAGUGAUGAAGGUCUUCGGAUCGUAAAACUCUGUUAUUAGGGAAGAACAUAUGUGUAAGUAACUGUGCACAUCUUGACGGUACCUAAUCAGAAAGCCACGGCUAACUACGUG
Molecule: ribosomal RNA, 497 nt
Filed under: uncultured bacterium
Lineage: Bacteria
Description: partial 16S ribosomal RNA
Rfam family: Bacterial small subunit ribosomal RNA
Source: RNAcentral